GCCACAUCACGUUGAAACAUUGGUUCCCAUACGAUCACCAAAGUUAAACAACGUCGAGCGUGGCCAGUACUUAGAUGGGUAACCACUUGGGAAUACCAGGUGCUGUAAGC
Acanthosepion pharaonis is the source of this 110-nucleotide non-coding RNA. The record is from the annotation of a GenBank genome assembly. NCBI's taxonomy places the organism in Eukaryota, Metazoa, Mollusca, Cephalopoda, Sepiida, Sepiidae.